Molecule: ribosomal RNA, 285 nt
Filed under: uncultured soil bacterium
Lineage: Bacteria
Description: partial 16S ribosomal RNA
Rfam family: Bacterial small subunit ribosomal RNA
Source: RNAcentral
AGAAUCAACGCUGGCGGCGCGCUUAACACAUGCAAGUCGAACGAGAAAGGGGAGCAAUCCCCGAGUAAAGUGGCGUACGGGUGAGUAACACGUGGAUGAUCUACCUCUUGGCGGGGAAUACCUCUGGGAAACCGGAGACAAUACCGCAUAAGCUCGAAAGAGGAAACCUCGGAAAGGGGGGGCCGAGAGAGGAGUCCGCGGCCGAUUAGCUAGUUGGCAGGGUAACAGCCUACCGAAGGCAAAGAGUCGGUAGCCGGCCUAGAGACGGGCACGACCGGACCCUAC